Long non-coding RNA from Mastomys coucha (southern multimammate mouse), 242 nucleotides. RefSeq lists it as uncharacterized. The transcript is spliced from 3 exons. The record is from RefSeq and is a predicted model, not a curated record. NCBI's taxonomy places the organism in Eukaryota, Metazoa, Chordata, Mammalia, Rodentia, Muridae.
GUGAUGAGAAAAGGCAGCAUAAAAUCUGUUCAUCAAUUAGCCUUCACAGUAGAGAUUGGAGAGUAACCAAAGCUCACAGAUCUAAGAACAUUGAAUUCCAACUGAAAUCUGAGUGACUAGCUGGAGUAUGGAUUGAGGAUUAGUGACAUCCAGAGUUGAUAAUGGCAAACUGAUGGAAUGAUACUUCAAAUCAAUCUAACAAAGAAAAAGUGUCUUCAUGAUACUUCAAGGCAACCAGUCCC